Long non-coding RNA from Scylla paramamosain (green mud crab), 3099 nucleotides. RefSeq lists it as uncharacterized. The record is from RefSeq and is a predicted model, not a curated record. Lineage: Eukaryota; Metazoa; Arthropoda; Malacostraca; Decapoda; Portunidae. The transcript is spliced from 6 exons.
AGAAAGUACAACAAGAUAAAGAAAGAACAAAAAUAAAACGAAGGAGAAGGAAGGACGGAAGGAAGGACAAAAAGACGAAGGAAAGAAGAAAGGACACAAACCAACUCUCAACACCCACCACCACCACUAAAAUUUCCGCACCCUCAGUCACUGACCAACAGUUGUGAGACGUACUGCUCAUAGUUGCUGUCCAUUAUUAGCGUGGUACAUAGACUGUGGCCGCUGAGACUUGCAGAAAUGGGGAAGUGGGCCAGAUAUUCUAAGUGGUUCCAGUGUAGUUGGUUGAAAGAACCACAGUUUGGAAAGUGGCUUGUAGAAGUGAAACAUGAUGAUAAAAAGCUUACUGUAAAGUGUGCAAAGCCGAACUCAGGGCACAUAAAAGUUAUCUGAAAAAACACAGUGAAACAGAAGCACAUUCAAAACAUGAAGAAAAUUCCUAGUGCUAAGCAAAUGAGUGUGAAAAGUCUCUUUCAGAAAGUUGACACAAAUAAGAAAUCUGAGAUUAAAUUGUCAGUUUACGUUGCUUGCCACUCUUCCAUUCAGUCAGUUGACCAUUUAAGUGAGUUAUGGAAUGAUCUGCCGUGUACUUCAAGUACUGAAAAGUUGCGGUUGCACAGAACAAAAUGUAGUGCACUUAUCAAAAAAGUAAUUUCACCAGCUUUACUUGCAGAGCAAGUUAGUGAUCUGAAAAAUUCUCCAUUUUCACUUAUAUUGGAUGAGUCUACUGAUAUCGCAUGCGCAAAACAUUUGUGCGUAUGUGUCAGGUACUACAAUGUAAGGCUUAACAAAGUUGUGUCGCAAUUCCUAGGGCUUAUACCAGUCACAAGUGCAACAGCUGAAGCAAUAUAUCAGCAUGUGAAAGACUACUUUAAUGAAAUUGGAGUCAAUUUAAAUCACUGCUUUGCCAUAGGGACUGAUGGAGCUUCCAGCUUGUGUGGACAACACCACUCAUUCUACACACUUUUGAAAAAGGAUAUUCCAGAUUUAGUGUUAGUGAAGUGUGUCUGCCAUUCUCUGCAUCUGGUAUGCAGCCAUGCUUCAGAGAAAAUGCCAUCAAAUAUAGAUUAUAUGCUAAGAGAAACAUACAACUGGUUUCAUAGAUCAGCAAUCAGACGUGAAGCAUACCUUGACAUAUACAAACUGCUUAAUGAUGGUAAUGAGCCCCUACAGUUAGUACCUCUUUCUGGGACUAGAUGGCUAGCCAGAAGCAACAGUGUGAAAAGAGUUCUGGAUCAGUGGGAUGUUUUGAAGACACAUUUUGAAAUAGCUUCUUCAUCUUGUGGUAAAUAUCUAGCAAGGGAACUUCAUUCAAUGUAUGCUGAUCAUUCAAAUGAGUUGUAUUUCACUUUCUUGAAACCUGUUCUAAGUCAGUUUGAAAAGAUCAACCUUCUCUUUCAAAAAGAAGCAGCAGACCUUUGCAGUCUCUUGAAUGAAUUGGAAAAUCUAACAUUUUCAGUGCUCAGAAGAAUAAUUUAUCCAACGAGUGUAAAACUUGAUGUGGAUAUGAAUUUUAAGUCCAUUUUUCUUCCACUUGAAAAAGUAGACUUUGGGUACGAGUUUACUGUGCUUUUGGAAAACAAGAGGAAGAUGAACUUGAUUUCAGAGGAAAACAAGCAUGCCAUACAAGCUAGAUGUCACGCGUUUCUCGUAAAAGCAUCUGAAGAACUUCUUGCUCGUGUCCCACGUAACAUUGCAACCUUGAAACAGAUAAAAAAUCUAUCACCAGCAAUAUGUUUGACCCACACAAGACCUCCAUUUUCUGAGCUUCCAUUAUCUCUGGCUGAACAAGCAAAACUCCCUGAGAUUGAAAACCAGUGGCGAACAGCCUUACAUACUGAUUGGCAUCAAAUAAUUGAAGGUGACAUACCUCAGGAUGGUUCAGUGUUCUGGUCCAAAUCUGCUACAUUAAAAAAUGCAGGUGGAGAACUCAUUAUGAAAGACCUGGCAGAAUUUGCUCUGAAAGUGUAUAGCCUUCCUAUUAGUAAUGCCUUAGUAGAGCGCGUAUUUUCAAAAGUAACUGCAGUUAAAACUAAAGUGAGAAAUCGUAUGGGUUUAGGACUCUUAACUUCUAUUCUACGAAUCAAAACCUCCCUGAAAGAAAAAGGCAUGUGCUGCAAUACAUUUGAGCCUCCAGUGUCCAUGCUGCAUUAUGAUUCAUCUAUAUAUAAGGAUGAAAAAAUAGAGGAGGACGAGGAAAACCUGCUACAAUCAUUGCAGCUGAUCUAAGAAAAUCUCUGGCCUCCUGCUUUUGGGAACCUUUCUGCUACUUUUGAUGAGUCUCAUCUGGCAACACUGGGCCAUCCCUCGGGCAGUCCCCCCCAAGAUUUAGCCUCGGGUGGGUGUACGCUGCCUUUGGUCCCUUUCCCUGCCUUUGUUCUACACUGUUUGUUCUCGCAAUACAGGAGAAGAGUGUAGGUAAAUAGUUUGUGAUCUCAAGAGAACACAAGAGUCCGUGAAAUGAAGAAGGACUGAGAAAAGUGUUGCCAUGACAGGCCAUGUUUGUCUGCCUGUCUGUCUGUCUGUCUGUCUGUCUGUCUAUCUGCCCAGGUGUUGCCAUGACAGGCCAGGUGAGUGCCCGCUAAUUACCAGGAGAAGAAAAAAGAAGAAAAGAGGAGGAGAAAGAGAAGAUGAAUGAAAUGGAGUCCAUCAUUACAGAAGGAGAGGAAGCAGAGGAAAAGGCAGUCCUAUACUUCUCAAGAAACUACAAGAUUCUUCUCUAUUUCACAUCUGUUAUACCUGAAGCUGCACCGGCUGGGCAUCAGUUGGUUCUCAGGUGAUCUGCUUUACUGAUCACACCCAUCAUCGUAGGGUCCAGGAAAGGCAGUUCUCUCCCUGACAUGUUUAUUGAUGAGGAGAAGAAAAAGAAGAAAAAAGAAGAGGAGGAGGAAGAGAAGAUGAAUAAAAUGGACUCAAUCAUUAGAAAGGGAGAGGGAGCAGAGGAAGCACCACCACCACCACUACUACUACAAGUACUACUAUUAACACCACCACUACUACUACUACUACAGUUUUAAAUAUGCACACAAUGAGAGAGAGAGAGAGAGAGAGAGAGAGAGAGAGAGAGAGAGAGAGAGAGAGAGAGAGAGAGAGAGAGAGAGA